RNAcentral lists this ribosomal RNA (406 nucleotides) under uncultured prokaryote. RNAcentral's name for it is "bacterial SSU rRNA". It matches the Rfam family "Bacterial small subunit ribosomal RNA", at positions 355 to 776 of the family's 1533-position model. RNAcentral also lists the same sequence under 1 other name. The record is from RNAcentral.
UGGGGAAUAUUGGGCAAUGGGCGAAAGCCUGACCCAGCGACGCCGCGUGAGGGAAGAAGGUCUUCGGAUUGUAAACCUUUGUUGAUAGGGACGAAGAAAUGACGGUACCUAUCGAGGAAGCCACGGCUAACUACGUGCCAGCAGCCGCGGUAAUACGUAGGUGGCAAGCGUUAUCCGGAUUUACUGGGUGUAAAGGGUGUGUAGGCGGGAAAGCAAGUCAGAUGUGAAAAUUAUGGGCUCAACUCAUAACCUGCGUCUGAAACUACUUUUCUUGAGAGUCGGAGAGGUAAACGGAAUUCCUGGUGUAGCGGUGAAAUGCGUAGAUAUCAGGAGGAACACCGGUGGCGAAGGCGGUUUACUGGACGACAACUGACGCUGAGACACGAAAGUGUGGGGAGCAAACAGG